Molecule: ribosomal RNA, 345 nt
Filed under: uncultured bacterium
Lineage: Bacteria
Description: bacterial SSU rRNA
Rfam family: Bacterial small subunit ribosomal RNA
Source: RNAcentral
AGUGAACGCUAGCGGCGUGGAUUAGGCAUGCAAGUCGAACGCGAAAGGAUGAUGAAGGAUUCUUCGGAUGACUGAUUCGCUGAGUAGAGUGGCGCAAGGGUGAGUAAUACAUGGCUAACGUGCCUCCAACACUGGAAUAACAACUGGAAACGGUUGCUAAUGCCGGAUAGCCCCAUUCCACCACAUGAUGGAAUGGGUAAAGGUGGGGAUCCCUUCGGGGACCUCCUGGUUGGAGAGCGGGUCAUGGGCUAUCAGCUUGUUGGUGAGGUAAAGGCUCACCAAGGCUAUGACGGCUAGGCGAUCUGAGAGGAUGAUCGCCCACAUCGGGACUGAGACACUGCCCGG